AACUACAUUGCGGAGGAGGCGCUAACCGCUUAAUUAUACAGGGUGCGGGGCGAGAGGGCCAGCUGGAAGCUGUGCGCAUGCACCACCUCUACGCAUGCGUAGUCUCAUGGUAUAAAGGCGCGCACACGUGGUUCUGCAGUCUGGUAAGUGAGGAGGUGUAACAGCCCGGCUAGGAUCCUUCACGUGAAGAUAAGAUAAAAAGUGUCUUUGUGAGAAGGCCGGAGGAUUUACAGUCGGAAUACUUCAAAGCUCUGCAGAACGGUUAUAAAAGAAUGAUUAUAUGAAUGGAGCUGAGUAUUUUCAAUAAAAAUUUACUUAAACACUUA
Tympanuchus pallidicinctus (lesser prairie-chicken) is the source of this 326-nucleotide long non-coding RNA. RefSeq lists it as uncharacterized. The record is from RefSeq and is a predicted model, not a curated record. The transcript is spliced from 2 exons. Lineage: Eukaryota; Metazoa; Chordata; Aves; Galliformes; Phasianidae.